Molecule: ribosomal RNA, 369 nt
Filed under: uncultured Leptolinea sp.
Lineage: Bacteria; Bacillati; Chloroflexota; Anaerolineae; Anaerolineales; Anaerolineaceae
Description: bacterial SSU rRNA
Rfam family: Bacterial small subunit ribosomal RNA
Source: RNAcentral
UUUAGAGAUAGAGGCGUGCUCGAAAGAGAGCCGUAACACAGGUGCUGCAUGGCUGUCGUCAGCUCGUGUCGUGAGAUGUCGUUAAGUCCGCUAACGAGCGCAACCCUCGCUGUGUGUUAUAUGUGUCACACGGGACUGCCGGUCUUAAGCCGGAGGAAGGUGGGGAUGAUGUCAAGUCAGCAUGGCCUUUAUAUCCUGGGCUACACACACGCUACAAUGGCCAACACAAUAGGUUGCUAAGCCGCGAGGUGGCGCCAAUCCAUAAAGUUGGUCUCAGUUCAGAUUGUAGGCUGCAACCCGCCUGCAUGAAGAUGGAGUUGCUAGUAACCGCAGGUCAGCUAUACUGCGGUGAAUACGUUCCCGGGGCUU